CCUACGGGAGGCAGCAGUGAGGAAUAUUGGUCAAUGGCCGGAAGGCUGAACCAGCCAAGCCGCGUGAGGGAGGAAGGCGCAGAGCGUCGCAGACCCUUUUUGCCGGGGGACAAAAGGCCGGACUCGUCCGGUCCUGAGGGGACCCGGAGAAAAAGCAUCGGCUAACUCCGUGCCAGCAGCCGCGGUAAUACGGAGGAUGCGAGCGUAAGCCGGAUUCAUUGGGUUUAAAGGGUGCGCAGGCGGGCCUUUAAGCCGGCGGCGAAAUCGAGGGGUUAAACCCCGCAUAGCCGUUGAAACUGGGGGCCUUGAGUGCUGCAGAGGCAUGCGGAAUGCGCGGUGUAGCGGUGAAAUGCGUAGAUAUGGCGAGGAACCCCGGUGGCGAAGGCGGCGUGCCGUACAGCGACUGACGCUGAGGCGCGAAAGCGCGGGGAUCGAACAGGAUUAGAUACCCUUGUAGUC
RNAcentral lists this ribosomal RNA (459 nucleotides) under uncultured bacterium. Its description in RNAcentral is "partial 16S ribosomal RNA". It matches the Rfam family "Bacterial small subunit ribosomal RNA", at positions 338 to 795 of the family's 1533-position model. The record is from RNAcentral.